Molecule: ribosomal RNA, 497 nt
Filed under: uncultured bacterium
Lineage: Bacteria
Description: partial 16S ribosomal RNA
Rfam family: Bacterial small subunit ribosomal RNA
Source: RNAcentral
GAUGAACGCUGGCGGCGUGCCUAAUACAUGCAAGUCGAGCGAACGGACGAGAAGCUUGCUUCUCUGAUGUUAGCGGCGGACGUGUGAGUAACACGUGGAUAACCUACCUAUAAGACUGGGAUAACUUCGGGAAACCGGAGCUAAUACCGGAUAAUAUUUUGAACCGCAUGGUUCAAAAGUGAAAGACGGUCUUGCUGUCACUUAUAGAUGGAUCCGCGCUGCAUUAGCUAGUUGGCAAGGUAACGGCUUACCAAGGCAACGAUGCAUAGCCGACCUGAGAGGGUGAUCGGCCACACUGGAACUGAGACACGGUCCAGACUCCUACGGGAGGCAGCAGUAGGGAAUCUUCCGCAAUGGGCGAAAGCCUGACGGAGCAACGCCGCGUGAGUGAUGAAGGUCUUCGGAUCGUAAAACUCUGUUAUUAGGGAAGAACAUAUGUGUAAGUAACUGUGCACAUCUUGACGGUACCUAAUCAGAAAGCCACGGCUAACUACGUG